GCAGGUCCUGUUUCAAAGGGUUACAGGUUUAUGACAUGUAUUUAAGAUACAAAUACAUAGUUACGCGACACUUUCAAAGUUGACAGACAUUACAUCAAGGGUCACACAGCUCAUUUCACAGAACAGAGCAGGCCACACACUGCACAUGAAUAGCCAGGCACAGAUACCUCAGUAACGGUACUUGGUGGAGUAAUCCUUGGGAGCAAUCACCAGACCACGGCCCUUACGAG
RNAcentral lists this long non-coding RNA (230 nucleotides) under Triticum aestivum (bread wheat). RNAcentral describes it as "long non-coding RNA (TAES_LNC008851)". Lineage: Eukaryota; Viridiplantae; Streptophyta; Magnoliopsida; Poales; Poaceae. The record is from RNAcentral.